This is a non-coding RNA of Gautieria morchelliformis, 82 nucleotides long. Lineage: Eukaryota; Fungi; Basidiomycota; Agaricomycetes; Gomphales; Gomphaceae. The record is from the annotation of a GenBank genome assembly.
GACCUCAUAGCUCAGUGGUAGAGCGUGUGAUUCCAGGUAUGGUUAUUCCACAAGGUCGUCCGUUCAAUCCGGGCUGAGGUCA